UGCGUAGGUGGCGGGGUAAGUCGGAUGUGAAAUCUCCGAGCUCAACUCGGAAAAGGCAUUGGAAACUACCUUGCUCGAGGGUUGGAGGGGGGACUGGAAUACUUGGUGUAGCAGUGAAAUGCGUAGAUAUCAAGUGGAACACCAGUGGCGUAAGCGAGUCCCUGGACAACUCCUGACACUGAGGCACGAAAGCUAGGGGAGCAAACA
Molecule: ribosomal RNA, 207 nt
Filed under: uncultured bacterium
Lineage: Bacteria
Description: partial 16S ribosomal RNA
Rfam family: Bacterial small subunit ribosomal RNA
Source: RNAcentral